RNAcentral lists this ribosomal RNA (636 nucleotides) under uncultured bacterium. Its description in RNAcentral is "bacterial SSU rRNA". It matches the Rfam family "Bacterial small subunit ribosomal RNA", at positions 202 to 838 of the family's 1533-position model. The record is from RNAcentral.
UAAAGAUCCGUCGGAUGGGGAUAGGCUCGCGUGACAUUAGCUAGACGGCGGGGUAACGGCCCACCGUGGCGACGAUGUCUAGGGGUUCUGAGAGGAAGGUCCCCCACACUGGAACUGAGACACGGUCCAGACUCCUACGGGAGGCAGCAGUGAGGAAUAUUGGUCAAUGGCCGGAAGGCUGAACCAGCCAUGCCGCGUGAAGGUCAGUGCCCUAUGGGCGUUAAACUUCUUUUGUGCGGGAGCAAUAAUGGUCACGUGUGGCCAGACGAGAGUACCGUACGAAUAAGCAUCGGCUAACUCCGUGCCAGCAGCCGCGGUAAUACGGGGGAUGCAAGCGUUAUCCGGAUUUAUUGGGUUUAAAGGGUGCGUAGGCUGUGAGGUAAGUCAGCGGUGAAAUGCCCCCGCUCAACGGGGUGAAGUGCCAUUGAUACUGCCUUGCUGGAAUGCGGAUGCCGUGGGAGGAAUGUGUGGUGUAGCGGUGAAAUGCAUAGAUAUCACACAGAACACCGAUUGCGAAGGCAUCUCACGAAUCCGCGAUUGACGCUGAUGCACGAAAGCGUGGGUAUCAAACAGGAUUAGAUACCCUGGUAGUCCACGCUGUAAACGAUGAUGACUAACCGUCGGCGAUACACAGUC